This 501-nucleotide ribosomal RNA is filed under the name uncultured Glomeromycotina. RNAcentral describes it as "partial small subunit ribosomal RNA". It matches the Rfam family "Eukaryotic small subunit ribosomal RNA", at positions 591 to 1092 of the family's 1831-position model. The record is from RNAcentral. Lineage: Eukaryota; Fungi; Glomeromycota.
CCAAUAGCGUAUAUUAAAGUUGUUGCAGUUAAAAAGCUCGUAGUUGAAUUUCGGGAUCAAUGUUUCGGUCAUGCCGUUGGUAUGUACUGAUAUUAUUGGUUUCUCACCUUCUAAAGAACCGUAAUGCCAUUAAUUUGGUGUCACGGGGAAUUAGGACUGUUACCUUGAAAAAAUUAGAGUGUUUAAAGCAGGCUAACGCUUGAAUACAUUAGCAUGGAAUAAUGAAAUAGGACGUUCGAUCCUAUUUUGUUGGUUUCUAGGAUUGACGUAAUGAUUAAUAGGGAUAGUUGGGGGCAUUAGUAUUCAAUUGUCAGAGGUGAAAUUCUUGGAUUUAUUGAAGACUAACUACUGCGAAAGCAUUUGCCAAGGAUGUUUUCAUUAAUCAAGAACGAAAGUUAGGGGAUCGAAGACGAUCAGAUACCGUCGUAGUCUUAACCAUAAACUAUGCCGACUAGGGAUCGGAUGAUGUUAAUUUUUUAAUGACUCAUUCGGCGCCUUACG